AGGUAAUGUCUACUGUACCUUUAUCACUGUAGGCACUCGGCCAUGCUGUGGGUUUCGUAGCCUUAGACGCGAGUCGUCAAGGGUGUGGCGUGAGGAAGGGUUCAAUGCCCU
Molecule: regulatory RNA element, 111 nt
Organism: Paenibacillus mucilaginosus 3016
Lineage: Bacteria; Bacillati; Bacillota; Bacilli; Caryophanales; Paenibacillaceae
Rfam family: epsC RNA
Source: Rfam